AGAUUGAACGCUGGCGGCAUGCCUAACACAUGCAAGUCGAACGGGAGUAGCAAUACUCUAGUGGCGGACGGGUGAGGAAUACGUAGGAAUUUGCCCUUAAGUGGGGGAUAACCCGGGGAAACCCGGAUUAAUACCGCAUGACCUCGAAAGAGCAAAGUGGGGGAUCGCAAGACCUCACGCUUUUGGAGAAGCCUACGUCGGAUUAGCUAGUUGGUGAGGUAAUGGCUCACCAAGGCGACGAUCCGUAACUGGUCUGAGAGGAUGAUCAGUCACACCGGAACUGAGACACGGUCCGGACUCCUACGGGAGGCAGCAGUGGGGAAUAUUGGACAAUGGGCGCAAGCCUGAUCCAGCAAUGCCGCGUGUGUGAAGAAGGCCUUCGGUUGUAAAGCAUUUAAGUUGGGAAGAAAAAACUAGACUCUAACACAGUGAUCGUUGACGGUACCGACAAGAAUAAGACACCGGCAACUCUGUGCCAGCAGCCGC
This 486-nucleotide ribosomal RNA is filed under the name uncultured soil bacterium. RNAcentral describes it as "bacterial SSU rRNA". It matches the Rfam family "Bacterial small subunit ribosomal RNA", at positions 26 to 518 of the family's 1533-position model. The record is from RNAcentral.